GUGCUUACUUCAGCAGCACAUAUACUAUUAAAAUUGUAAUGAUACAGAGAUUAGCAUGCCCCCUGCGGAAGGAUAUCAUGCGGCUUCAUGAAGCAUUCCAUAUUUUU
Small nuclear RNA from Erinaceus europaeus (western European hedgehog), 107 nucleotides. The record is from Ensembl. NCBI's taxonomy places the organism in Eukaryota, Metazoa, Chordata, Mammalia, Eulipotyphla, Erinaceidae.